AAAUGGUUUGAAUUUGAAGAAAUCAAAGGGAUUUUUCUGAAUUUUUUAAUAAUUUUCUAUUAAAAAUCGGUUUUAAACCAUUUUUUGACCCUAAUGUUAAGUCACAAAUGUAUUGAAACCGGUUUUUAAUAGAAAAUAUUUAGAAAAUAA
This is a non-coding RNA of Caenorhabditis elegans, 150 nucleotides long. Lineage: Eukaryota; Metazoa; Nematoda; Chromadorea; Rhabditida; Rhabditidae. The record is from Ensembl.